GUUACUUCGGUAGCACAUAUACUAAAAUCGGAACGAUACAGAGAAGAUUAGCAUGG
This 56-nucleotide small nuclear RNA is filed under the name Mola mola (ocean sunfish). Lineage: Eukaryota; Metazoa; Chordata; Actinopteri; Tetraodontiformes; Molidae. The record is from RNAcentral.